Molecule: ribosomal RNA, 261 nt
Filed under: uncultured bacterium
Lineage: Bacteria
Description: partial 16S ribosomal RNA
Rfam family: Bacterial small subunit ribosomal RNA
Source: RNAcentral
AUUGAACGCUGGCGGCAUGCCUUACACAUGCAAGUCGAACGGUAACGGGCCUUCGGGUGCCGACGAGUGGCGAACGGGUGAGUAAUGCAUCGGAACGUACCUUUCAGUGGGGGAUAACGUAGCGAAAGUUACGCUAAUACCGCAUAUUCUGUGAGCAGGAAAGCAGGGGAUCGCAAGACCUUGCGCUGAUUGAGCGGCCGAUGUCAGAUUAGCUAGUUGGUGAGGUAAAGGCUCACCAAGGCGACGAUCUGUAGCGGGUCC